This 30-nucleotide non-coding RNA is filed under the name Homo sapiens (human). Lineage: Eukaryota; Metazoa; Chordata; Mammalia; Primates; Hominidae. The record is from RNAcentral.
GAAGCCACCAUACAGCAGAGGCUGGGUUAA